RNAcentral lists this ribosomal RNA (440 nucleotides) under uncultured bacterium. RNAcentral's name for it is "partial 16S ribosomal RNA". It matches the Rfam family "Bacterial small subunit ribosomal RNA", at positions 338 to 795 of the family's 1533-position model. The record is from RNAcentral.
CCUACGGGCGACAGCAGUGGGGAAUAUUGCACAAUGGGGGAAACCCUGAUGCAGCGAAGCCGCGUGAGUGAAGAAGUAUUUCGGUAUGUAAAGCUUUAUCAGCAGGGAAGAAAAUGACGGUACCUGAUUAAGAAGCCCCGGCUAACUAAGUGCCAGCAGCCGCGGUAAUAAGGAGGGGGCACGCGUUAUCCGGAUUUACUGGGUGUAAAGGGAGCGUAGACGGCAGCACAAGUCUGGAGUGAAAUGCCGGGGGUUAACCCCGGAACUGCUUUGGAAACUGUGCAGCUAGAGUGCAGGAGAGGUAAGUGGAAUUCCUAGUGUAGCGGUGAAAUGCGUAGAUAUUAGGAGGAACACCAGUGGCGAAGGCGGCUUACUGGACUGUAACUGACGUUGAGGCACGAAAGCGUGGGGAGCAAACAGGAUUAGAUACCCGAGUAGUC